CUUGGUGUUCUUAGCAUUAUGGAACCACACUGAUCCAUCUCGAACUCAGUUGUGAAACGUAAUAGCGGCGAUGAUACUUAAAGAGGAGUCUUUUGGGAAAGUAGUUCAAUGCCAAG
Molecule: ribosomal RNA, 116 nt
Filed under: Chattonella marina
Lineage: Eukaryota; Raphidophyceae; Chattonellales; Chattonellaceae
Source: RNAcentral